Molecule: ribosomal RNA, 611 nt
Filed under: uncultured bacterium
Lineage: Bacteria
Description: bacterial SSU rRNA
Rfam family: Bacterial small subunit ribosomal RNA
Source: RNAcentral
GUGGUAUGAGAUGGACCCGCGUCUGAUUAGCUAGUUGGUGAGGUAACGGCCCACCAAGGCGACGAUCAGUAGCCGGCCUGAGAGGGCGACCGGCCACAUUGGGACUGAGACACGGCCCAAACUCCUACGGGAGGCAGCAGUGGGGAAUAUUGCACAAUGGGGGAAACCCUGAUGCAGCGACGCCGCGUGAGUGAAGAAGUAUUUCGGUAUGUAAAGCUCUAUCAGCAGGGAAGAAGAAAGACGGUACCUGACUAAGAAGCCCCGGCUAACUACGUGCCAGCAGCCGCGGUAAUACGUAGGGGGCAAGCGUUAUCCGGAUUUACUGGGUGUAAAGGGAGCGUAGACGGCUGUGCAAGUCUGAAGUGAAAGCCCAGGGCUCAACCCUGGGACUGCUUUGGAAACUGUGGAGCUAGAGUGCUGGAGAGGUAAGUGGAAUUCCUAGUGUAGCGGUGAAAUGCGUAGAUAUUAGGAGGAACACCAGUGGCGAAGGCGGCUUACUGGACAGUAACUGACGUUGAGGCUCGAAAGCGUGGGGAGCAAACAGGAUUAGAUACCCUGGUAGUCCACGCGGUAAACGAUGAAUACUAGGUGUUGGAGAGCAAAGCUUUUCG